RNAcentral lists this long non-coding RNA (15128 nucleotides) under Cricetulus griseus (Chinese hamster). Its description in RNAcentral is "lncRNA (ENSCGRG00015038433.1)". Lineage: Eukaryota; Metazoa; Chordata; Mammalia; Rodentia; Cricetidae. The record is from RNAcentral.
GUUGCAACAGAAAUGAAACUAGAACAGAAUGGAAUCUCAGCCUUGUCUGUGGAGAAAGGCUGGCUACUAGGGAAGGUAGCUGUGGGGAUCCAACUCUAACCUUUUGGCCAUGAGUGUUAAGGCGUAGGAAGACGGAACUACAAUUCCCAGGAUACCACUCGGCCAAUGUAUCGCUUUGCUCCACCCUCUGACCAUGCUCCUUGGACUGGCAGUCUGUCUGUAUAAAAACGCGGAGCGGCCCAGCGGUGCGCAGAGCUGUGGUGGCGCAGCAUGCGCACUGUUUUCUUCGCUUUGGGGUGGACGCUGUCUGGGCACCUCCAGGGCUUUCCUGCCUCGUGAACGUCCUCCCUGUGCCGCCCGAUCCCCGCGGACCUACAAACCCCGAGGCCUCGAUGGGAUAUUCUGGAUUCUCCGGAGGGUUUUUUUCUAGCGCAGACUGGGUGUUUGUGCUGUCGAUGCUCACAGAAGAAAGGCGCAGAGCUGUGCUAGGAGACUGGAUGCGCCCGUCAGAGUCCUCGGCGGCCCUCGCCCGCAGCUCUUGGCGCAGGUCCGCUCCCGGGGACCGCGCUGAAGCCUCCGGGGAGUCCGGGCGCAUGGUCUACGCUCUACCUACGCGGGUCCUCGGCGCGAUAGCGGCGCUUUGGCUUCGGGCGCUGGAUGGUCAGGGAGAAAGAGGUGAGGGCGCCGGAUUUUCUAACAUGGAUUACUUGGUGCUUAUCAACUGGAUUUAGAAGGCCCAGGACCUCGUCUCCAUCAUCCAUGGUUGUCUUUUCAUCUCCCAGCUGCCCUCCCACCUGGAGUUCUGGAAGCCAGAAGUCCAAAACCAAGAUAUUAAGAAGCUUGUGUUGUCUCCAUGGGCUCCAGGAAGGAUCUGUCCCUGCUUCUUCCAGAAUCUGCUGGCUCAGCUUUCUGCCGCCAUCUUCAUGUGGUCUUCCCUCAACAACAACAGCAACUCCACUGAUACCUGCACAUUUGUUCAGGAAUUACCUGCACUAACUCACACCCCAGAAACCCACAAGGGAAUGCAUACUGCAUAGUAGUUAGAGGUAUGUAACUGGUGUUUAUUGGAAUGUGGUGGAGGCCAGGGGUGGAACCUGAUGAUACAAGUGUACUGCCCUGUUGAAUGAGUUCAGACAGUAAGUUAACAUACAGAAAUAACAGAAUAGGAGUCUGUGUAAAAGGACCAAUGGAGGACUAGGAAGCUGGCUCCUUUGGUAAAAUGUUUGCCUUGAAAGCAUGGGAACCUGAGUUCAAUUCCCCAUAUCUGCAUAAGGAAAAAAAUGAAGGUGAGAGUUGUGAGUAGUGGAGGGGUUACUGCAUACAGCAGGAGCACGCGCACACAUAGAAACACACACAUGUGCACCUGCACAUAGCAUAAGUAUGCACACAUGAGUGGAUACACAUGAGCACACACAUGAGCACACACAUGAAAGUUCCCACUCAAAACAGAAUAGCUCAAUAUACAACCAUCCAUUAUUUUGCUAUCAAUGUCUGUUGUUAAUAACUUGAAAAAUAAGAUCAGCAUCCAUUGUCAUACUGUUUGUAUUUAGUUAAUUCCAGGUUUGGGUUUUAUCUUUUAAAAGCCAUAUUUCUUUGAAAGUAGGUUUGGAUUUGUCAUGACCCCAAGUGAGUGGAUUUCUUCUGCAGUGUAGUUUCACUGCAUAUUAAACAAUGAUUGCAGCUAGCUGUCAGUCAGAAGAAGUGGCUCAUGCUUAUACAUCAGCACUUUGGAAGCUGAGGCAAAAGGUGUGUGAGUUCAAGGCCAGUCUGGGCUACAGAGAGAAAGCCUGUUUCAUGAAUGAAUGGAAAUGGCAACCCUUAAGCCUCUGUGUCCCUAAAAGACCUGGCGUUUAGGGUCAACCCCCACCAAUGGCAAGUCUGAUGAUGGUGUGUUCAGUAUUGCUCUACUUCCAGAUUUAACCUUCCCCUUAUUGUUCUAGGUAAAACCAGAGGUUUCUGCUGACAUGGAACAUGGACAAGAGAAUGGUGAGUUGUGAGUAGAUGUCUCAGUGUACCUGUGUUUCUUCUGUUUUAUUUUUCUUGUUGUUGCUGUUUUCUGAGGUGGACUCCUGUUUUUUGUACGCCCUCUGGUAUAGACACAUCCCUAACACUCUGCGUGCCUAUCUAGAGCACAGGCAGGUGCCUUGCUGUUUGCUAUGGGAGUGUAAAUACAGCAAGCAGUUAAUGCAAGCAAGGCUGUGCUCCGUGCUCUCCUGAUUGUCACUCAGGUUAAUAUAAUUGUGCACACCCCCGUGGCUCUAGCAGAUAUGUUACAGUAUGACCAAAGACAAGACAAAGACAUUGAGGUAUAGUCACAUGCUUAAGAUGGCGUGGGUCAUUUGGGAAACAGCCAAAACUCAAAGCCAAGUCCAUAUCUUUGCUGUUCUGUAUUGCCUUUUUGCAUGAUGGAGGGACCCCUCCCCCAACAAGUUCUUGCUGCCUGUCAGAAUUCACUACAGGGACAGUCUUGUUGUGCACAGGGAGAAUCACCAGGCAGGUGACCCCCAACCUGUACACACAGGGGAUAGGUGGCAGGUGGACCACACCUGCUGCCCUUCAGGAGUGCAGAGACUACCCGUAUUAAACAGGAUCUCAGAGCUUUCUGGAAAACUGCCAACCGGGUCUGGUCCUAAUAAUGCUGGCUGUAGAACAGAUGCCUCUCCCUUUAUCCAAGGGCCCAUAACUGUCUAGAUUCCUCCAUCCAAUGUGGUUACAGCACUUCUGGCCAUAAAUCUUAGUGGUAGGUCCUGAGUGGGAAGCUCAGACUAUGGACAGGUUUGCCUAGAGCCACCAGAUCAUCCCAGUGUCUCCUACAGAGCGUGGGAAUGGAGCUGGAACCCGACAGGUCACAAGAGGAGGACAGCGUGGUACUUUUCCUAGUUCCUGGGACAGAUGCAUCAUUUGACAAGUGGCAGUGCUUUUUCUUGUUUUAAUCUUGGCGGUUAUGGAUCUGAUUGAAGAUGAAUUCCUCUGUAAGAUGGUGAUGCUAAAGGUCUUGUUCUUUGGGAGACCAGGAAUCGAAUGAAAACCAAACCAAGGUCUACUAGUGUGCACAGUCUUGACAGUCCUGGCAGAGAGUUCAUCUCCCAGCCUUCUCCUCCCUACUCCCAGUCACCCCUCUGGUGUUAGCUUUUGGGGAACCAGCUGGGGUACCCAUGAUAUGCUCUAAUCUAGGGACUCCAGUCUUUUUGCAUAGUGUUUGCGUCUUCCCAAGCCUCUUUCUUAAACCUAAUAUUCCAUGGGUCACUUGAUGCCUUUAAGAAACCCAUCGUGACUAUCCAUUUGUUGUCCCGGUAUCCUUGUCUCCUUGUCAUCAUCUCAUGUCCCAUCAGUUAAGAGUCCCCUGCUUCCCAUCUUACCCACAAGACAAGAUUCUUCCUGCUCUCUGUGUCUCCACAUCCUUCCCUUCUGCACCGUGACCAUCACAUUCAUGUGUGCCCGUAAGCACACAUGUCCCAUAAGGCUGGCUUCUCCUUCACCUGGCCCUUCAGGAUGUCAUCUGCAAGGCCGCUUCUGAAUCCCCUCAGGGCUCUAGGCAGUAGGUGUGGAAGGGCAUCUUGUCCCUGAAUCUAUGCAUUCCAACUCCUCCUAUCGUCAGUUUUCAUCUGAAAAUCCAAGGAGCGCAGAGAAGGUACCCGAGUGACAGUGAGCUCCCUCAUGGGAGCGUGACCUCGUACUCAAUGACUGUUGUUGAAAGAUUGUUUUAGCUGCUGUCUGGGCUUGGUCACUAGAGGACUAUGUGCAUAUUGGGGUCAGGAAUAGUUAAUAAGUGUCUUGAGGGGAUUUCCAGGCAAACCAUGGGUACCGCCACCCAUCUGAAAACAAGUCUUACCCUUUAUCAGCCCUUAGGCUUCCUCCUCAACCCAAAGGCCAGAAUAUCCCAUAGGAUGUAGCUUUUCCCCCCAUACCUAAAUGGCAGUGGUUCCUUUCUUUGUUCAUUCAUUCUGCAGCUAUACAUUGAUGUCUGCCAUCCCUGAGAUUAAUAGGGUGAGUGUAGGUGAUAUGUAGUAAAAACAAAGUUUUCAAACAACUAAAGAGGAUACAAACAGCUGAUGGUAUUGCAGACGAAUAUGGAGCCGGGAAACCCAGCCCAGCGCAGCUGGAGGGAGGGGUGAGCACAGGUUAUAGCUUUCAUUAGAGGGAGAUGGAGACCUGAAGGAGGGACGGAGGACACCCUGCAUGCUUUUGUGAAGACUCUUUGGGACAGAGGGAAUGGUCGCAUUAGCGGAUCAAAGCAGGAGCAUGGAAGCUCAGGGUGGACUUGCGAAGCAGAGCAGAUAGAUGUGUGAGCAUCUCAGUGAGGGCUGAUGCGCAAGAGAACCAGGCCAGGGAGAGCCUGGAGGCCCUAGACCCUGCUGUUGAGAGAGCGCAGCAGCGCUGGUGCGGUGUGCUAGGGUCUGACUCUCCCUCCUAAGGUCCUUUCUCAGGGGCUGGUAUCGAAGCCCAGAAGAGCAGGUGGCUGGGAGGAGAGGGUCUAAACUGUGUGUGUGUUUGAGAGAGGGGGGAGGGAGGGAGGGUGAGAGAGAGAGAGAGAGACAGAGACAGAGGCAGAGAGACAUAAUGUGCCCAUCUCCCUCCUACCCUGUCAUAUACAGAAUGGUAGUGAUGAUGGCAAUGGUCCAGAAAGCCCUGGUCACAUCUCAGGAGCUUCCAUAACUGCUGAAUUUAGAUUCGCCUCUGGCAUUGGGCUCUGGGCUUAAUGUCAUCCCCAAUACACACACCCUGCAGGCCUACUGGCAAAGGAAAUGGGAACAUGGGUAAGAGGAGAGUGGCCAAAUGCCUAUGUUUUCUUGUUCUGCAUAUCUUCGGGCAUGGGUAGGUGCUAGGGGCAUUCAAGGGACACCUAGAAGUUUCACCAUCAGGCCUUGGAGCAGCUAACAGUGCUGAGGGUGCUCCUGUGUGGGCUCCUCCCAUCUCUGAGGGCUGCCCUGGUCUUGCAGCUCCCCAGUCUUUCUCUCACCUGACUUUUCCCUCUGAGAACGAGCUGCGCUAAUUGACAGCUGUAGAAAUUAUGGGGUCAGCCAUCAUGCUACAACAGCCAUCAAGGAGAGACGGGCUCAGAGUGCCUCGCUCAAGUUAACCCUGGAUACAGAGGGUCUUCCCGAGAAUGUAUCCCUGUGCCUCCAGCCUUGGCUGUUGUUAGCAACUGUGUGAUGGAAAUUGAGCCUGUAAGACAUUGAAGUCUGGUGUCUAUCUAGGGAGAACUAGGUGCGUAUCUGGGUAAAGCCUUGGAAAUGGGUGCUCUGUUGAUAGUGUUUGGAGAAGGAGGGAAGAAUCUUGGCCCCUGUGUUCCUACCAAGGCCAAGGCCAGGUGUGUUUCUGGGCAACUCCUGGGGACAGCUUCCCACCCAGUGCCUUGCCCUGCUGCCUCAGUAAUCUUACAGGAUUAGAGGGCUGGCUCUGCCUACUUCCUUUCAAAGAGCUGUGACAUCAUUGCCUUCUAGCCCCCAAGGCUCCUCCUGUGUGGUGUCAGAGGGAGGAAGGACUGUUGUAACUGAUGAAAAAUCUGACACCCUGGGAGGACAUGCCCUUUCCUCAACUCCAUCCAUCAUGUGUGCUUUGGGGGGGGUGGGGGGGGCGCUGCCACUCAGAUGACAACUUCCACUAGGCAGGGAGUUGAGAGGGGAAAGCUGGGAGCCCAAGCCGGCAUCAUUAGUUGCAGGGGUGAGCUCAGCCUGGGACUAGUGUCAUCCCAGGGGUUUGUAGCUGGAACUUCCCUAUGGGAUCCAACUGUGAGUCACUGUGGUUGGUGUCCCUGCACCGAACUUCUUCUCUAGGUCUCCCACUGUCCCCUGGGACAUCAUGGUCACAGGUCAGGGCUAGUGACUCACUGGCUACCUCAGCCAACUCCAGGGGUGGAGUCUUCUAUUCUCUCACCUCCUGGCAUGUGGACCCUCCUUGGUGUGAUGGCCACAAUUAGGCUGGCUGCUGUCUCAGAAGCUAUGUGCAAAAUGUGUGGGCCAGCAGAAGGCCCUGUCACCCUGGGGUGGCCAAGCAGAAGCCGCAGCAGUGGCAGAUGUGUUCCAGAGGCUAUGUGGGAAGUUCAGGGUGCUCUGUGGGACAGCCAGCUGCAGCCACUGGGGCCAAGAUGGAGGCUGACCAAGGGCUGUUCCUGCUCACCCAUGCUACUCACCAGAAGCUCUGUGGAAAAGUGGAAACUAUGUCCCUGGUCUUCCUUUCAGGACUUGGCUGAGAUCAGGCUACUUCUUGAGAGGCCUGGAUUCAACUGAGGAAUAUCAUUUUGGAAAAUAUAGAAACUUCUAGACUGUGGAGACACUUGGGAAGGAAUGAUCUGUGUUGACUUGAAUGAAAAAAGACAUCUCUGGAUUUUACCCACAGCUGGUGAAGGCUCACCAUCCCAACUCAUCUUCUGUCGUGUAGAAAAGUCCCUGAUGCCACUACCCAGAAUGCUCUUCUCCACCUGCCCCUGUCCCAGGCACCGCAUCCUUCCCUGCCUGACCCCACCUCACCUUUGGACCCAAAGAUGCUUCUUAUUUGCUCUAUUAUCUUCGAGCCGGAUGCAGAGUGAAUAGUUAACUAUUCUUGAGUUGAAUGGGUCUUGAUUUUUUUUGUUGCUGUUCCUUGUAAAGAGAUCAUUCUCAGUGCAUGGCACGCAGCCUGGAAAAGGUAUGUGACUCCAGAGUGACACGAGAGCCAGCGUGAAGGCCCUGUUAGCUCUUGGAGGCCAGGGAAAGUGGAGACAGCUGAGCCGGGAGUUGAGUAGAGCUGGCGCUGGCUGUGGUCUUGCACUGGUUGGAUCCACAUGCAGGUGUACAUUUGGACUGGUAGAGGUGAAGCCAUUUUCUGUGACACAAAGGGAAUGAGCUAAAAGACCUUCUUCAGAGGUGGCAGUUGGCAAUCAGCUCAUCCAGGGCUGUGUGACUGAGCCGCCAGCUCCAUUGGUGUUGCCUUCUGUGCAUGUCCUCGCUGUCCUGUGUGCUGUCAGCAGCCGGAGCCUUUUCCUCCUCCCUCCUCUGUGGCCUCUACUUGUGCAGUUGGAAAUCCUUCCUAAUCAUGUCAUGACUCCACCUUCUUGACUGUGCACUCGAAGAUGUUUGAGACUUUUUUUUAUUUAUAAAAUGGAUGGAUAGUUUGUUUCCUCGAAUUGUCAUUGGCAUGAUUCUAUGGCUGUGUUCAGUGACUUUACAGUGGGGCAUUGUCUUUGGCCUCUCAGAUUCUCCAUGGUGGAAUUGAAGAGACUUCCUAAAGAUGUUUAAUGCUGCUGAAAUCCAAAGAAGGCUUACAAACAUCCACCUGCCCUCCCUCCCUCCCCCUCCAUCCCUCCUUCCCUCCGUCCCUCCCUCCUUUCCUAAGCACACAGUGCCAUUGUCUGUGUUGUAUGAGUUUCUUCAGGUUUGAAGGAAUGGUGACCCACUCCUAUUAUCCCUAUAGGUCUUUUCUAACAGUGGGUAAGGUAAUAGAAAUGGUUGGAGGGACUGCCCAGAUGGCCUGCCCUAUAAUCCCAUAGUUAGACCAUAUACUCAAGAACUACAGGGAUGACAAGGACGGUAGCAUCCAGACCGUCAUGUGCCUCCCUAUACAGUAGGAAAUAGUGUUUCUAACUCCCACAUUCCACUCUGUGGAGCUGGGGAGAUCCAGUCAUCCCAGACUGCCAAGGACAUGGGAUUUCUUGGGACAAGAGAUUUGGGGGAGCUAAACCUGGGGCUGACUUAGGAAAAGUGUCACGAUUGGUCAUCCUACUGAGUGAACCAGUGACCAUAUCUCUUCUGCUGCAGCAGCAAGGGAAAGCUUCUAGGUUGCUUGGCCAAUUCCUAUUCAGAGCUGUAUAUCUGGUCACUCUUUGGACACAGGUCUGAGCGGAUCAGGUGCUCCAUCCUGACCAAAUCUGUUAUCUGUAAGAUGGUAAGUUUGUCUUGUACUGAAGAAAAUCUGAAGUGUCAUGGGCCAGAAAAUAUGAAGUGUCGUGGGCCAGUUGAGACCAUGUCCUUCCGAGGAGUUUGUAUACAGUGGGCAUGGCAGAAAUUCAAAAUACCUGGGAUUGCUCUAGGGCAGUCCUAUGUAGGUGACACUUACCUCUUAUUCAAAAUGAAACUGCCCUUGAAGAAGCAAACCCACAGCCACCAGGAUAGUACAGGAUGCAUGGCACCAUGUUCAUGUUUGCAUGUGUGUGUGUGUGUGUGUGUGUGUGUGCUUAACACCUGUGCAAACAUGUGCUAUAGAGAAUAAACCAAGAUCAAAAAUUUGCAUCUUCGCUAGACAGAGACAAAGAGCUGAAAUCUUAGGGACGAUGUCUGGAAAGCAAGGGACUUGGCUAGGAGACUUCCUGGAAGUCCUUUGAAGUGUAGCUUUUAUUUAGACUAUCAAGGGCAUUUCAGCUGGGGAUAAGUGUGUACUUUCUCUCUAGAGUCCUCCCCGAUAACCCUGAUAACCUGGGUUCAACUCAGAAACCACUGAGUGGGACCUCCCAGCUCACUCUCCCCUUCUCAGUCACUAGCAUCAGGGAGUGGGAGGAACUUCAAGGAGGUGAGGACGGGCGGGGUCAUGCCAAUCCAAUUCGGGGUGUUCAUGACAAGUAAGAGCAAUUGAAAGGUAAAUUACAGGUUCUUUUGCAGCUUGAAAAAGCCAGGUUUUCAGGAUCACCUGGCACCUGAAGCUGUUGCUGCCUGUCAGGGCUUUCAGCCCACAUCUUUCUGCUGAAGGCUAAGCAUGAGGGUCCAUGAUGCUGGAGCAUGGCGUCCCACUAAUUCUUCUCAUCUUGAGUUGAAGGCCACAGGCGGUUAAUUACAUACUAGGGUUGCAAUGAGAUCCAGGGGUUUUGGCAUAAUUCUUGGAUUGGGAAGAAUACUAGCCUGUAUCCUUCUCUUUGGGCACCAUCUUUGAAAAGAUGACCAUGGGAUUGGGGAGAUGGCUCAAUCAAGAAACUAUGUGAGGACCAGUGUGUGGUGGUAUACAGUUAUUAACCCAAUGCUUGAGAGACAGAUUCCUGGGCUUCACUGCUCAGCCAGCCUGGCCUACUUGGCAAGUUCCAGGCCAAUGAGAGACCCUGUCUCAAAAAAACAAGGGGGCUAGAGAGAUGGCUUGGUGUUUAAGAGUGCCUGCUGCUCUUGCAGAGGACCACAGUACAGUUUCCACUCCCCACACCAGGCAGCUCACAACUGCCUGGAGCUCAAGUUCUAGGGCAUCACACACCUUUUUCUGACCUCCACAGAAACUUUGGUCUCUGCUCAAGCACACAUGUGCAUGCAUGCAUGCUCACUCUCUCACUCUGUCUCUCUGUCUCCCUGUCUGCCCCCCCAAAAGAUGAUCAUGUUUCAGCUGACCCCCUUCAUAUGUACCCUGUCACCCUUUGAUCCUAGAAGAAGCUUUGCCAUUGAGAUAGAGACAGCUGUUUCCUACUCCCUUUUCCUCCACAUAGAGCCCCCGGAUCUCAGCAGCUAAAGUACCCUACCUCAUCAGUUUUCUGGAACAAUCUAUUCACACAGGAAUCUCCUUUUAAAUUCUGACCAGAUGUCAUCCAGGCCUGGGGAGGCAGCCUUUGGUUGAGAGGGAAUUGUGAAGGGGGCUGAACAGUAUUUACCACCAUGGUGGGAAGAAGAGAAUUUGAAAGAGCAAUUCAGAGGCUGCCACGUGGCCGUGAUUGUCAACUCCUCAACAACAUUUUUGAGCUAAUAUAUUUUGUCUUCUCCCCUAAUCAGUCUCCUAUUUUUGGAUCCUAGUGGUAUGUGUAUGCUGGUUUAAAAUAAAAAUCACAGGGCAGGGAAACAGGAGACCUGAGAUUUUGAUGUCAGAAAGUCCCUCAUUUUAGCUCCUUGUAUUUAACAUGCAGGGCUGGGCACAGGUGCCUAGGACCAUCUCCUGACGACAUUCACAUUGCUGUUGUAUUUGAAGGACAAGCCAUCAGUUUUCUAGGAGUUGGUGUCUUAAAGAUCUACUGUAUUUUCUGUAGUGGAAGAGACCAUUAGCGGAUAUCCAUGGGCCAAUGGAAAUCACCCCAUCCCCGUGCUGACCACUCUCAACCUGAUCAUGACUCAGGUAUCGUGAUCAUAACGACAUUUCAAAUUUACUCUGCUCCGCACCCCUGGGAUCUUAUGGGGCAUUUGAACUUGACUCCAAACCAUAGGAACACUCUGCUCUACAAACAGACCUGGGGACCUUUCUAUGGAGAUAUGAGUAUGGAAUUACUACAGAUGGGAAGAUGUUUAUGGGGAAGUGUGGCCUCCUGCUCAGGAGACUGCAGGGCAGAGAGUACCUUUGGAAAUGACCACCGACUCUGUAGGCUUGUGGAAAACAUGUGGAGGGAAGCCUAAGGAGAUCCUUGAACUUUUGAUAGGUUGAGGAGUGGUCUGGAUACCUGGGAUCUAGUCCUUUGCCUCAACCAGCUCAAGGUCAUGUGUCAGUCACUCCACCCUGCCUCUGUGGCUCAGUUUUUCUUCGUACAUGCAAUGGAGCAGGGAAGUAAAGACGUUGCCUGUGAGUCAGGUUUGUCGCCCUGCCUGCCCUGGCUGCUGUCUAUUUCCUGAUUGGUAGCUCACUGUCCCUUCAGCUGCACAAAUUGGAAUUAAGACUGUCCCAUCCCAGGGAAGUCCAUUACCAAAGAAUACUUCAAAGAUGUUUGCACAUGUUGUCAGUUGCACUGAGCAUGAGUUUGUUGAAGGAAAAGGCAAAUAGACACACAGCUGGUGACGGGAAAUAAUGGGGGCUGUUUAGCCCUGAGUGACUGCAAGGCAAGGGGGUAAAAAAAAACCAAGUCUGCCUGUCAUUUUGACCAAUAAGUAAAAAUGGGGAGUGCUGAAUAGUUAAAGCCAUUGGGGAUUUAUUAGUUUGCCUAGUGAAGGGCAAAUAUUAAGUCUGAAAUUGACCCAUCCUGGGACCUGCCUUUUGGCUUUUGUGACCUGCCAGGUGCUGAUCUCUGCAGACUCCAAGUUACUAAGUUCUCUUCGGUUUCUUUUUUAAAGUUGUGUUCUGUCUCCCUCUUUGGUCCCUCCUUUACCUAUCCUUUCCACCUCCCACCCUUCCCAGAAACUCAAGUAUGGAUUUUGGAGGAGGUGGAAGUCUGCCGGAUCAUAAAAUUCUUUGUACCAAGGGCUCUGACUGGCCUGGGGUUGAGCUGCCUGCAAUUGGGUGGCCUUGGGAAGUGAGCUUACUAGGUUGCCGUACAGAUUCUCCAUCUUCUGACCUGGACUUUAGAGUGCUAAUAGGCAAAGGAUUUGUCCCUCAUUAAACUUACAGUGAGUACAGUGGCAAGUGUUAGAAAGGCCAGACCAUAGCUAUUUCUAAAUCAUAACUCUCUGUCCUAGGAGACCAUACUUGCCUCUCCAUGACAAGUAACUUCAGCACGCAUGUCCAGAGAGGUACUACUUAAGGAGGGGUCCACUGGACCUAUGACUAUUAGAACAGGGGGGGAUGAGCAGUCUACCUAGCUUCCAAGAAUCAGGCAGAAUUUGAGCAUCCCCAGUAGCAAGCAGCCCACUACAUUUGUGGGGUGCUUGGGUCUCCCUUGGGGUGCAGUACUGCUGGGCACAUAGCUCUAUGUCAGACCCUCAGGGCUCUUAUCUAGAGCUGCUCCAGGAGGCUUCCCAGGAAAGUAAGUCUUCCUUCCCUGCCCCAGACUUUACAGACAACUCUCCAUCUAUUGUUCAUGCAGCCCACAGUGGGGAAUGUUCUGGAACUGCUUCAUGACGAAAGUCCCUCUCGUAUUCCAGUAAUGAGCUUUUAUUGAAUGGGGUGUGUUAGCUUUCCAUAGCUUUAGCAAAUAACAGAGAUAAUCAGCGUUUAAAGAAAAAAGGUUUAUUUUGGCUCGUUGUUUUGGAGGUUCCGGUCAGAGCCAUUGCUUGGGGACAAACCUGAGUAGAAGCCUACGGCAGAGCAAAGCCACUCAUUUCAUGGCUGGAUAAAGAAAGAAGGUCCUGAGUCCAAUUCCACAGUCUCCCCAAGGGCAUUUCCCCAAUGGCAUGAAGACUUCCAGGAGACCCAGACCUUAACACAUAAGCCUUUGGUUGGUGUGGGGUGGAGGAUAGUUCCAGAUUCAACCUGCAGCGUACCAUGUGAUUUCAAAUCCUUUGUCCCUCUGUACAGAGGAGCCAGUGUUUUGAAGGAUAGCUGGUCAGCUUGUCUCCAACUCUCCCUUUUCUAUGAAGCCUUCCUUGAUUUUUCCUUUCCUCUCAAUCAGUUGGGACAGCCCUCUCAUAUAGUUUAUGAAGCAUGUUGCAGCAUGUAUGUAAGUAUGUAUGUGUGUCCCUCCUCCCAUAGUUAGUAUCAAAUUAACUACCUUGAGGUUGAAUUAUUCUGGGUGUCUCCUCUCUGCUUUCUUCUGUCUCCUCUAACCUCUUCCGUUGGAACAAGAACCUAGUUACUCCCUGUUGAUUGGAAGUUGACCCCAGGUUGCCCCUGUGGUGUCCAGCUCUCACAAUGAGCAGUCUGGUCUGCUGUUCACAGACGUUCUCUGGUCAUUGGAAGACAGGCCCAGAGGAGCCCAGUGCCUUGUCCAAGCCUUACCCAGGUGAGGACUGGUAUUAAGCAGCAGCGGGGUCACUGACAUGGCAAAUGAACCAGCAAGGUGUGGAAUUGACUUUCCCUGUUUGCAGUCUGUCACUGCGUGUAGUGCCACAUCUGCCUGCCUUUUGUUUGCUGUCUAAUAAUCAAUAAAAUGUUAUCAGAACAGAAGAGAAAAUAUGUGAGCUUGACUGUUUGGUUUCCAUGAAGAAAGUGGAAUGCGGCUGGGUUUUCCUGGUCUAACUGCAAAGCUAGGCUCAUGUCUAAGGAGGGCGUAAAUUCAAAGGCUUAGAUCAAGGGGCCAGGGACUUGGUUCCUUUGGUAAAGUGCUUACCACAUAAGCAUGCUGGCUGCUAUAACAAAACACCAUCCAAUCCCAGUGUCUACCUGAGGUUUUCUUAUCUACUCUUCAGUUGAAUGUGAGUUGGCAUCAGUGGAUGCAGAGAAAGCUCUUUGCAGAAAUGUUGGGGCUGAAGGAGUUCUUAAUUGGUCUAUAUAAUAAAAAGGCAGAGUUAGACAUAGAGAGAAAUGCUAGAGAUCAGAGAGGAGAAGCCAGCCACAGCACACCUUACCUCCUAAGCAUCUCAGCAGAGAACAGUUUCCUGUUUCUCCCUGCUUAUAUCCUGUUUCUGCCCAGCUACACAAUUUCCUGUCUGUCUGUACAGACCUCUAGACCUCUAUGGUUAGCUAGUGGCAAGCUCCAUUCUCUGACCCCCAGACAGGCUUUAUUUGUGCAAGAAAGAUAUCACCACACAUGACACUAUUACUCCAAUCCUCUCUCUUCUGUUCACAUUGCAUUGGCAGGAAUUGGUCAGUAUGCUCCACUUGGAUGCAGGAAUCUGAGAAAUUCCCAGCUCUGUUACACAAAUGCUGGUGAACACUAGCAGUUUCUGCCACACACACACACACACCAAAUAUCCACUGUGACAACUGGGGUGUCCUUUAUUGCUUUCAUCAUGGUGGCCUUUCUGCUCCAUAAAUUCUGGCCUCUUGAAUGUGCUGUUGUCACAGCUGGUAUAUAUAGGUUCAAAGGUAUAAGGAAAGCAAGGCAGAGAUGAAGCAAAGCAGAGCCCCGAGUUUCACUUACUUUCAGCAGUGACCCCAUGUAAUUCAUUCACUCUUUCUGUGUCUUGAUUUCCAGUGUGUGCGUGCAUGUUGCAUGUAUGUAAGUAGGUGCUGAUGCACAUGUGUGUAUGUGUGUGGAAGCCAGAGGUCAAACUUAGGUGUUAGUCAUAGGAGCUGUCCACCUUUUUUUUUUUUUUUUAAGCAGGGUCUCUCACUGACCAACCGGCCUGUCUGUCUCUGCCUCCUCAGUCCUGGGAUUACAAGUGUGAACAUCUAUGCAUGGCUUUGUACAUGGGCACCGGGGCUGGAACUCCGGUCUCCACGCUUGCAUGACCUUACCACUUCAAUUUCCCAGCUGAGUCAUCUCCCUAGCCCCAGUUUCCUCCUCUGCUCUGCUUCUAAGUGGUUCCGAAGUCUGAGUGUUGGCAGUUGGAACAGAAUUUGAAGCAACAGCACCCCUUCCAUAUGUCAUCUUGGCUUUAUUUAUUCAGGGCAAGUGUUCUUGAUAUCCAUUGCUUGGGAACCAAGUAGGAUGAUUAAUCUUAAUUGUCAACUUCACCCGAGUGACACAUAGGUAGAAGAUAGUUCAUAAGGCACACCUCUGAGUGUGUCUGCCAUGGCUUUUCCAAGGAAGAGUAGGUUACCAGCACUCUGACCUAAUCAAUGGUUUGAUCCUUGAUAGAUUUAUAGUUGAUGACAUCAUUAAGAAGUGGUGGAAGGUAGGUGGUGGGGUCUAGUUAAAGGGUACAGGUGCCUGGCUCAUGUUUCUCUGACCACUUCCUCAAUCAAUCUCUUUCUUUCUCUCUCUCUCUCUCUCUCUCUCUCUCUCUCUCUCUCUCUCUCUCUCUCUCUCUCUCUCUCUCUCUCCUCCCUCCCUCUCUCUCUCUGUCUUCUCUCCUCUCUCUCCACUCUCUAUUUUCUAUGAAGAGACGCCUCUGGGUUGUGUUACCACCACCAGGACAUUUUGUGCCAGUACACCAUGGUGCCAAGCAAACAUGGACUGAACUCUCUGAAACCAUGAGCCAAAAUAGAUCAGAUUUUACUUUUAGAUUGCAUUGUCAUUAUUUUGUCACAACACAAAAUCUGACCAACUUAAGAAGUGUUUGUAGAGCCACUGAAUGAUGACUCAGUGAGUGCGGGCGUUCACUGCCAGUGCCCUGAGUUCAAUCCCUGGAACCGUGCGAUGGAGGGAGAGAACUGACUUGUGCAAAUUGCCUUCCCACUUUCACAUUUAUGUGAUGUCAUGCAUGAAAUCAAUAAAUAAAUGCUAAAAAAAGAGAAGUGUUUGGGAUUUUGAAAUAUAUACAUCUGAAACCAAGAUAACUUGGAGAUGGGUCCAAGUCUAAACUCAGAACUAUCUUACAUUUCAAAUGCACCUGACACACACAACCUGAUGGUUUCCUUCUAUGGUAGUUUUUAAACAUCUGUUUUGAGUGGGGCACAUGCCAUGAGGUCAGGUGUAGGAUUUCCCACCCGUGGUGUCAUACAGUGCUCACAAGCUUUCCGAUUGGGUGGCGGGAGGCAUUUUGGGAUUUGUAUUUUUGUACUGGAGAGCCCCAAUCUGGGCUCUGAGCAAGGAAGCACGUAGGUCUAGACAGGAGCAAGUAGCU